GACGAACGCUGGCGGCGUGCCUAAUACAUGCAAGUCGGACGCAGUGGGGAGGGGUGAGUAAAACGUGGGUAACCUCCCAUCAGAGGGGAUAACACGUGGAAACAGGGGCUAAACCGAUACGGGUGGCAGGAACCGCGGUGCAUUAGCUAGUUGGUGAGGUAACGGCUCACCAAGGCCAAGAUGCAUAGCCGACCUGAGAGGUUGAUCGGCCACACUGGGACUGAGACACGGCCCAGACUCCUACGGGAGGCAGCAGUAGGGAAUCUUCGGCAAUGGACGAAAGUCUGACCGAGCAACGCCGCGUGAGUGAAGAAGGUUUUCGGAUCGUAAAACUCUGUUGUUAGAGAAGCGGUAUCUAACCAGAAAGCCACGGCUAACUACGUGCCAGCCGCCGCGGUAAUAC
This 403-nucleotide ribosomal RNA is filed under the name uncultured bacterium. RNAcentral's name for it is "partial 16S ribosomal RNA". It matches the Rfam family "Bacterial small subunit ribosomal RNA", at positions 28 to 526 of the family's 1533-position model. The record is from RNAcentral.